CUAUCCUCAGAAGUUAAGGAGAAUAAUUUUUCUCCCUCCUCCUUGUAACAACCUUUUAUGUACUUGAAAGCAGUAAUCAUGUCCCCGCUCAUGCUCCUCUUCUCCAGACUAAACAAACCCAAUUUUUUUCAAUCAUUCCUCAUAAGUCAUGUUUUAUAGACCCUUAAUAAUUUUUUUAGUCCAAGAGGAAA
Molecule: non-coding RNA, 191 nt
Organism: Chelonoidis abingdonii (Abingdon island giant tortoise)
Lineage: Eukaryota; Metazoa; Chordata; Testudines; Testudinidae
Source: RefSeq, a predicted model, not a curated record